GGGGAAUUUUCCGCAAUGGGCGAAAGCCUGACGGAGCAAUACCGCGUGAGGGAGGAAGGCUCUUGGGUUGUAAACCUCUUUUCUCAGGGAAGAAUGAUGACGGUACCUGAGGAAUAAGCAUCGGCUAACUCCGUGCCAGCAGCCGCGGUAAUACGGAGGAUGCAAGCGUUAUCCGGAAUGAUUGGGCGUAAAGCGUCCGCAGGUGGCAAUGUAAGUCUGCUGUCAAAGCGUCUGGCUCAACCAGAUAAAGGCAGUGGAAACUACAUAGCUAGAGUAAGGUAGGGGUAGAGGGAAUUCCUGGUGUAGCGGUGAAAUGCGUAGAGAUCAGGAAGAACACCGGUGGCGAAAGCGCUCUGCUGGACCUUAACUGACACUGAGGGACGAAAGCUAGGGGAGCGAAUGGGAUUAGAUACCCCAGUAGUC
RNAcentral lists this ribosomal RNA (423 nucleotides) under uncultured cyanobacterium. Its description in RNAcentral is "bacterial SSU rRNA". It matches the Rfam family "Bacterial small subunit ribosomal RNA", at positions 356 to 795 of the family's 1533-position model. The record is from RNAcentral. Lineage: Bacteria; Bacillati; Cyanobacteriota.